GUCUAUGUGGGGAAAGAUAAAUCACGUUUGAGAUCUGCUAAGUCAUCACCUGCCUUUGUGGCCAAACCUGAAAGCCAGGCCCCGGGUCUCAUUUCCCCAACAACAGACUGUGAGAUACCAUGGAGACAAACUAGCGGCGAGUGACUUCAUUAAGUCUGCAUGGCAAGAGUGUUGGGAUGGUUCUUGAGGGUGCUGUGUGGCCGCUGUGGUGGGGCACAUGGGAGACGGGAACGGAGUCCAAACACCUUUCUGCCUGUGAUGGACUUGCCGGUGUAUGGCCUGCAGAAUCAGGGAGCCUGUGUACUUUUCAACACAGAGCCAUUAAGGGGGGAAGAGACACAAAUUCAACACAUAAGUGCCCCUCAAAUGAUCCACUCUACUGUGUGCACUGAAGUGUAUGCCUGAGCCCUUCAUCAUGUCCAUUUACUUGGGACACAGGAUUUGUUUGGUUUAUGGAAACUUCCAGGGGAAGCAGGAGGUUAGGACCGUGCAGCAUAUGAACUCUGGGAGCGCACUGUUCAGUCUGUAGUGGAGGCAUUUGGACACUCGGACUACGGAAGGAGGGACUUACUCUGUCACAUCUCAGCUGUGUGACUUUGAUCAUGUCCUUGGACUAGUCUGGCUUGCGGAAGGUGCUCCUAUUGACCUCAAAGAAGAGAGACAUGGCUUUGUGAUUAGCAAGGUGCUCCGCCCAUGGAAAAAAAAUGCAACAUGCCUUGCAUCAUUUUUGAAUGUGAACUUAGAUGACAGCAAUGUGGAAAUGGGGUGAAAUCACCAGAAAAACAGAUUUGUUGCUGCAAUAACAUUUCUUUCAAGAAAACCUGGUCCCUAGAGGUGGGCCUGGUUGCUGACAUUUGAAUACCUCCACAUUUCCAAGGAACAGAGUUCUUUUUCCCUGCGUGACUAGAAGCUUAAAACAUUACCCUCUAAUGAACACCAGAUGGUAGAUCUGGAAUGCCUGGCCUGCAAGCCUGGCCUGGAUGCCCCUUAGCUUGCUUCACUUAUACAGUACCUGGGCCAACAACUCAGCAGACUGAACAGGAGAGAGAAGCCUAGGGUUUAACCACCCUAUAUCACAAAGUACCUGUGGCUGCCAGGCGAUGCCAAUGACAUUCUCAGCCUGUGAUGUCACAGACAAAUCUUUUAGCAGAAAUGGUUGAUGGGCCACUGAGAAGCCAAUGCUUUGGCCUGCACUGUGUCCAUUCCCUUACUUGUUUCACAUCCUGCUUUCUAGAAAUAUCUAAAGAUGUCAUAUCCCUAUUUUUUACUUUUUCCUGUGGAAAAAAAAAAACCCACCAUGCUUGAAAUGCAC
RNAcentral lists this long non-coding RNA (1312 nucleotides) under Cricetulus griseus (Chinese hamster). RNAcentral describes it as "lncRNA (ENSCGRG00015013526.2)". Lineage: Eukaryota; Metazoa; Chordata; Mammalia; Rodentia; Cricetidae. The record is from RNAcentral.